This is a long non-coding RNA of Lycium barbarum (goji berry), 890 nucleotides long. RefSeq lists it as uncharacterized. The transcript is spliced from 2 exons. The record is from RefSeq and is a predicted model, not a curated record. NCBI's taxonomy places the organism in Eukaryota, Viridiplantae, Streptophyta, Magnoliopsida, Solanales, Solanaceae.
UCAGUCCCUCUUACUCCUUCACCUAACAGCCCUAAAACGCUCCUCUCUCCUCUCUCUUCGUCCGUCACCCCACCACCACCCCACUCCCCGUCACUUCCAUCACUUUACCACCACCACAGAAACAUCCCACAAAAUCCGCUACCUACACCCUUCUUCUCUUUUCUCACACUCCAUCUCUGAAGCCUACAGGAACCAUGUGCAAAUUCAGCGGAUUUUAUGGUGAGUCCCAUCCCUAUUUUCAUCACCUCACCUGUUUGAAAUGUCAAUUUUUCCCCCCUUCUUAGAUUCGAAAUUCAAAGGCCAAAAACUUCUUGAAGAAGCUGUUGAAACAUUCCCUUUUUUUUUUAGCUAUAAAUACAGCCCUCUAUGGGCUGUUAAGGGGGGAUCAAUCGAGGUAAAAAGGAACCACAAAAAAUCCCUUUUUAUUUUUACAAGCUUUCCCCUCUCAUAAAGUUUCUAUUGCUUUAAAACUUGGGUUCUCAGAAAAUUCUAUUUUUAACUCUUAUGUUCUUUUGGCUGUAUAAUUUUGGUUAUUCUCGGCUGAGCAAGGGCCACUUCAAGCGGAUUCGAAGACUCGACGACGAUAAUAGCCUCAGUUCGCUGUCACGGAGAAGGAACCUUGGGAGCAUUUGGAGUUAUGGCAACUCCAGAUUCUGCCCAGGUCAGAGAGAAACUAGUAGCAGCAGUUCUGCUCGUGCCUAGCUAUCCCCGAUUUCCACUCGUGUCUGAGUGUCGACGUCUUCUUUCCUCUCUUCAAAAAUUUUAUGCCUUUGUAUUGAUGUGUCGUUUACAUAUUUUACUAACAUUUUGUGAGUUUGUAUUUGCAGUGUUUUAUUUCUCGUUUUUGUGCGUGAACUGUCAAUGAUGAUCGAGAAGAAAAGUUUGCUUAA